GGUCAUACUUCAACCACUCAUAGACUGCUAAGUGUUCAAACAAGGCAAACGCAGAGCUGUAACCAACCUCACUGUUUCUGUACUUCACUUCUGAUUCCCAUGAUGUCAGAAGCAGGAUCCAAAGUGGAGCUUCUAGUGACCCCUAGGAGUGCUGAGUAAACACGCAAGGUACCUGCAGGACCCACUUGUGUCCAUUGAUCUCUCAGAGCAGCUGGGGAUCAUGGGUAAAGACCUUCACAAUCUGGAACCCGAAGUUUGGAUCUUCUGAAAACAUCAGAGAAAGACUAUCUUUGCCAUCCCCACUACAGUAAAACUCUGGAGCCUUGAACCUUGGAUUUAUAAUCUCACAACUGAGAAGGGUCCCUCUAUACUCCUGGAACUGUACACCCAUUGGGAACUCUUAAGAAUACUUGAAACUGGCUAAUUUAUAAAGAAAAGGAAUUUAUUUCCUACAGUUAUGGAAGAUGAGAAGUCCAGAGUUCAGCGGCUGCAUCUG
Molecule: long non-coding RNA, 496 nt
Organism: Pongo pygmaeus (Bornean orangutan)
Lineage: Eukaryota; Metazoa; Chordata; Mammalia; Primates; Hominidae
Exons: 4
Source: RefSeq, a predicted model, not a curated record